This is a non-coding RNA of Arachis ipaensis, 1450 nucleotides long. The record is from RefSeq and is a predicted model, not a curated record. Lineage: Eukaryota; Viridiplantae; Streptophyta; Magnoliopsida; Fabales; Fabaceae.
UAGUUCCACUAAGUUCAGUCACCAAAACAGAGGGAGGGAGUGAGGGCGAGAAGUAGAUUCAGGAAAGGGAGAUCUCAUCGUCGAAACCCUAAGUUUACUGUCACCGUCGUCGCCACCGUCGCCGCCUUAGGUCAUCUCCAUCCUCCAAAUCGGCGCCUCCGCCUCCCCUGACAUCUUCCUCCACCUCCUCCCAUCCCGCUUUCCAAUCUCCUCAACAUCCACAUCGACGAGCGCCUCUCCGUUACCCUUCCCCUCUCUCUUUCCGUUCUCGCCGGAAGGUGCUCUCUCAAGGUGCAUUGUAUUGCCGACAACACCUCUUCCGUCGUUUGAGAUGAAAGCAAGAUUGUCAGGUGGUCAUUUCAGGAUGAUUAACGAGAAGCUCUACACUUGCACGUGGCCUCAUAUUAUUGUUCCAACCUUUAAAAUUAUUGCGGCGGAAUGUUUGCAGAAGAUUCAGAUUGGAGAAUAAAUAUCACUAGUUAGGAUAAUGAAGCUUUCAUGGUUGCUGUCUACAAGGGAGGCUAUAGUGCACUAUUAUCUAUUUGAGCACUAUCAAGAUGACUUGGCAGUUGUUCUUUUGAAUUUGAUCCAAGUUUCAAGAAAUUUCAAGAAACCACUGAUAGUUAACACCGUCUCUGGUGAGAAAACUGGAGCAAUUACAUGUUUCGAAAGAGCGACCUGUGCCAUCAUUUUUCCUAUGUCCAAUCCUUCAGCCUGUCAACUGUGUACCAGAAGAGAGUAAGCCAGAUGGUUAGUUAAAUUGAAUUCUUCUCUUGAAAGUUAUUUCUGUGUCUUUCUAGGACCCCAAACACAGGAUUGCUCGAAUUAUAUCACUUUCCAAGUCCGUAGUUACUAGUUACAGCAUUUGAUGAUGUUAGUGUGGAAGACCCUGAGUUUAGAUCUAUUCAAGCCUUAGCAGAAGUUGGUAUAGUUCCCAGCAAAUUAUAUUCAAAGGAUAAUUAUGGUUCUGGUAGAUCGAACAUCAAAGAUGACAUAAAUUUUUGUUCUGAUAGAUUCAUCUCAAGACAGGAUUUAAAAGACUGAAAAGCUUGGUUGGAGUAUGAUUUUUUUCUGGAGUUACUGAUCAAGUAGGCCGCUUUCAAAAUAAUAGUGUAUGGAGUUUUGAUUGAAUGAAUUAGGACUAUUAUAAUAUAAAAUUGAACUUUGUUUUUUCUCCUUUAUUUAACGGUUCUAGAAAGAAGCAGGAGGUGAUUCUGAUUUGAGGAGUGAAGUUAGAAGGAAAGUUAAACCUAGGGUUACAACAUUUGGGAGACAGAGGUUUGAUUGGUUGGAUUAGGUUUGAGAUUUAUAACUAUUAUACAUUUCUAAAGCUGUUUUGGCAUGAAUGAAUUAAGAUUUUUGUUUAUAUUUGAUGGAAACCUUGUAUUGCAUUUAAUUUUCUGUAUUUAGUGAGUUAAAUAUAAUUUUAGCUGAUUGAAUGUUAGGGAUC